Molecule: long non-coding RNA, 405 nt
Organism: Hypanus sabinus (Atlantic stingray)
Lineage: Eukaryota; Metazoa; Chordata; Chondrichthyes; Myliobatiformes; Dasyatidae
Exons: 3
Source: RefSeq, a predicted model, not a curated record
UUUCAUUUGGACGUUGGUUGUUUGUCAGUCUUUGCUUGUGAAAGAAAUACAGAAUCUGCAUACCUCUCACUAUGAAAGAGGCCCGAAGGUCAAACCAGUGAUCGGCAUGCUUGGGUGAAAUUCGAAAGUAAAGGAGCCUUGGGUCCCAUACCGCCAGAAGCAGCAAUGAAGAAUCCUUCUACAUCUGAGUGUGAUGGUGUUCCUGAGUCUCCUCCUGGGACUUGCAUGGCUGGCAGUAGUGAAAAACUGAGAGGGAGCUACUGGCCUGAUGAAGGAAGCUUCGAACACACCCCGAGAUAGAGGAUCUUCAUUACUGCCCUAAUCGCCAGUGGCAUGGCGAGCAGUAGGUUGACAGCUGGCUGACGUUAUUUUUGGUUUGCUGCUGGCGGCAAAUUUAAGUUUGGC